CCGCGUGACUUUGUAAGUGGUCUCCGUGUGCCAAAAUAGGCCACGGGCAAAGCCGCGCACAAAAAUAACUGAACGAAGGCCGGGGCGCCAAGUUCGUCCAGCGGAAAAACGCCACAAAAACAGGUGGGCUAUAGCCUUGGGGGGUGGGGCUGGCCAACUUGGUCCGCCGGACUCGGAAUGCCGCGAGACUUUGCAAGGGGCCUCCGUGUGCCAAAAAUAGGCCACGGUCAAAGCCGAGCCCAAAAAUAACCCCCCGAAGGCCGGGGCGCCAUGUUCGUCCUGCGGAAAAAGGCCACAAAAACGGGUGGGCUAUAGCCUUGGGGGGUGAUGGCGGCCAACUUCAUCCGCCAGACUCGGAAUAACGCGAGACUUUGUGAGGGGCCUUCGUGUGCCAAAAAUAGGCCGCGGACAAAGGCGCGCCCAAAAAUAACCGCCCGAAGGCCGGGGCGCCAUGUUCGUCCAGCGGAAAAAGGCCACAAAAACGGGUGGGCUAUAGCCUUGGCGGGUGGGGCAGGCCAACUUCGUCCGCCGGACUCGGAAUGCCGCGAGACUUUGUAAGGGGUCUCCGUGUGCCAAAAAUAGGCCACGGGCAAAGCCGCGCCCAAAAUUAACGCCCCGAAGGCCGGAACGCCAAGUUCGUCCAGCGGAAAAAGGCCACAAAAACGGGUGGGCUAUAGCCUUGGGGGGUGGGGCUGGCCAACUUCGUCCGCCGGACUUGGAAUGUCGCGAGACUUUGCGAGGGGACUCCGUGUGACAAAAAUA
RNAcentral lists this long non-coding RNA (762 nucleotides) under Citrus x clementina. RNAcentral's name for it is "Citrus clementina (C. clementina) long non-coding RNA (CCLE_LNC004826)". Lineage: Eukaryota; Viridiplantae; Streptophyta; Magnoliopsida; Sapindales; Rutaceae. The record is from RNAcentral.